Molecule: ribosomal RNA, 555 nt
Filed under: Atyaephyra sp. CAK243
Lineage: Eukaryota; Metazoa; Arthropoda; Malacostraca; Decapoda; Atyidae
Description: SSU rRNA
Rfam family: Eukaryotic small subunit ribosomal RNA
Source: RNAcentral
AAAAGCUCGUAGUUCGAGUUCCGUUCCGGACUGGUUGGGGAGGUCACCGCCCGGUGCCUGCCCGCCAGCCUCCGAACAGGCUCAAUUGCGAGCCCCGCCGGUUCUACGCCGGGGUGCUCUUUACCGAGUGUCCCGCGCGGCCGGCAAGUUUACCUUGAAUAAAUAAGAGUGCUCAAGGCAGGCUACUCUUCAAACAUAUGCCCGAAAGAUAACUGCAUGGAAUAAUGAAAGAUGAUCUCGACCUCAUUUGUGAUUGGCUUUGGAGAGCGAGAUAAUGAUAAAAAGAGACUGUCGGGGGCAUCCGUACUACGACGCGAGAGGUGAAAUUCUAUGACCGUCGUAGGACGAACAACCGCGAAAGCAUUUGCCAAGAAUGUUUUCAUUGAUCAAGAACGAAAGUUAGAGGAUCGAAGGCGAUCAGAUACCGCCCUAGUUCUAACCCUAAACGAUGCUAACUAGCAAUCCGCCGUCGUUAUUCCCAUGACGUGGCGGGCCGCCCCCGGGAAACCUCAAGUCUUUGAGUUCCGGGGGUAGUAUGGUUGCAAAACUGAAACU